RNAcentral lists this ribosomal RNA (496 nucleotides) under uncultured bacterium. RNAcentral describes it as "partial 16S ribosomal RNA". It matches the Rfam family "Bacterial small subunit ribosomal RNA", at positions 28 to 507 of the family's 1533-position model. The record is from RNAcentral.
GACGAACGCUGGCGGCGUGCCUAAUACAUGCAAGUAGAACGCUGAAGAGAGGAGCUUGCUCUUCUUGGAUGAGUUGCGAACGGGUGAGUAACGCGUAGGUAACCUGCCUUGUAGCGGGGGAUAACUAUUGGAAACGAUAGCUAAUACCGCAUAACAAUGGAUGACACAUGUCAUUUAUUUGAAAGGGGCAAUUGCUCCACUACAAGAUGGACCUGCGUUGUAUUAGCUAGUAGGUGAGGUAAUGGCUCACCUAGGCGACGAUACAUAGCCGACCUGAGAGGGUGUCCGCCCCACCUGGAACUAGACCAGGCCCAAGAUCCCUCGGGGAGGCGCAGGAAGGAAUUUUCGGGAAAGGGGGAAAACCUGAACCGGCAACGCCGCGGUAGUGAAGAAGGUUUUUGGGUCGGAAAGCCCUGUUUGAAGGUAAGAACGGGUGUUAAAGUGGAAAGUUCACACUGUGACGGUAGCUUACCAGAAAGGGACGGCUAACUACGUG